This is a long non-coding RNA of Hyla sarda, 282 nucleotides long. RefSeq lists it as uncharacterized. The record is from RefSeq and is a predicted model, not a curated record. The transcript is spliced from 3 exons. NCBI's taxonomy places the organism in Eukaryota, Metazoa, Chordata, Amphibia, Anura, Hylidae.
CCCAACAAGCUGCUCGGAUGGCUGAGCCCCUCAGCAGUGACUUCUGUGCGGGUGGCCCCGGAGCACGGCCUCUGUGAGGGGUGGGGGCUAUGUCAGGGGUGUCAGGGAUCAGAGGUCCACAACCAAUCAAGAUUUCUGUUAUGUUAUUAUGAUAUGUCAGAAGUUUUCAGAAUCUGUCUUCAGCCUUGGCCCAAAGAAUAUCAAUGAUGAUGCCCUGUCCCGUUACCUUUUUGUUUCUUAUUAUAAAUGAUCUUUUUAUUGCAUGUACAUUUUUGAUCCCAC